CCAUGAUGGCCACGCGGUCACAUACAGCCUCUGCCUCUGCCAUGUAAUGUGUGGUCAGGAGGGCACCCCUCUCUGUGUUUGUAAAGGUGGCCCGGAUCGCCUGCCUAAGGUUAGGUCAAGGAGAGCCGCUGAUUAAAGAGAAUUCUCAAGGAAUCGUAGAACCUUUUAAAGAUGUUUCCAUUAGCACACAGGCAAAACAAGAAGCGCAUCCAGGAGAAAUCAAAACCAAGGAAACCAUGCUGAAAGCCAGUUUUUACACGAUACAUAAAUCUACAUGAGUACUGCUCCUGAGAUCUUACCACAUUUGCUGCUGCCCCUCAGGGUCCAUCCCAGUUGACGGCUCAUCCAGAAGCACCACAGACGGGUUUCCCAGGAUGCUCAGCCCAAAACACAGCUGCAACAAGAGGAACAACCCGUCUAUCAUCAGCCUGCGGGAUGCAGACUUGUGGUCACUGCAUACCUACGGACAUCAAGUGAUGAACUGUAAGAGCAAAAGAACCCCCAUCUCCCAGCUUUGAAGAGAAUUAAGAUUGGAAUGUUUCUCGUCUAGCUGGCAGAAUUGUUUGAGGAAGAAAGGAAGAAUACUUUUAUGAGCUCCACCUCUUCCAUCUGUAGGGCAGUCACAGCACCUGCAGUUCUCAUUCUUUCCAUCUGAACAUCUUCAUCCUCUUCUCUGGGUUCUUCUGGGUUUGGAAAAGCAUUACAGCUUCUUGGAGAAAUUCUAAAAUCCAAACAGUGUGUUAAACUUAUCAGGUAUUGAAAUAGACGACUGGGAACAGCACCACUCCGGUCUUCUGCUCUAUU
Peromyscus eremicus (cactus mouse) is the source of this 804-nucleotide long non-coding RNA. RefSeq lists it as uncharacterized. The record is from RefSeq and is a predicted model, not a curated record. The transcript has 3 exons. Lineage: Eukaryota; Metazoa; Chordata; Mammalia; Rodentia; Cricetidae.